GUUGAACGCUGGCGGAGUGCCUAAUACAUGCAAGUCGAGCGGCAGCGCGAGUAGUUUACUACUUGGCGGCGAGCGGCGGACGGCUGAGUAACGCGUGGGAACGUGCCCCAAAGUGAGGAAUAACUGCCCGAAAGGGUAGCUAAUACCGCAUAUGGUCUUCGGAUUAAAGGAUUUAUCCGCUUUGGGAGCGGCCCGCGUCAGAUUAGGUUGUUGGUGAGGUAAAGGCUCACCAGGCCGACGAUCUGUAGCUGGUCUGAGAGGAUGAUCAGCCAGACUGGGACUGAGACACGGCCCAGACUCCUACGGGAGGCAGCAGUAAGGAAUCUUCCACAAUGGACGAAAGUCUGAUGGAGCAACUCCGCGUGCAGGAUGAAGGCCUUCGGGUUGUAAACUGCUUUUAUGAGUGAAGAAUAUGACGGUAACUCGUGAAUAAGGGUCGGCUAACUACGUGCCAGCAGCCGCCGUAA
Molecule: ribosomal RNA, 467 nt
Filed under: uncultured bacterium
Lineage: Bacteria
Description: partial 16S ribosomal RNA
Rfam family: Bacterial small subunit ribosomal RNA
Source: RNAcentral